This is a long non-coding RNA of Chiloscyllium plagiosum (whitespotted bambooshark), 726 nucleotides long. RefSeq lists it as uncharacterized. Lineage: Eukaryota; Metazoa; Chordata; Chondrichthyes; Orectolobiformes; Hemiscylliidae. The record is from RefSeq and is a predicted model, not a curated record.
AGUUUCACAUCUGUCGAAUGGGAAGUUACAAAGAUGCUCCACUGAAGCUUGUUCACCUUCAAGCUGCAGAAUGAUUUCUACAUGACAGUCUGGCUCCCUGGCCUGCAGUGGGAAGCCUUGCCAGAAUAGGGUACACUGUGUAUGCUUGAAGCUGAGGUAUUGACAUCCAGCAAUUCAUAAUCAACCAAUCAAUUCACUCUGCAUAUGAUAUUUGGGUGUAUGGCUGACAUCCACACUAUGACUGACUGAGACAAUGGAGACUUCAUUGACUUAGCGUUGAAUGAAAACCAUCCAGGCCAAAGCAACCCAUUGAUUGAUGACCUCCACCACCCUCCUUCAACAUUCACUCCCUUCACCAUCAAUGACCAGUGGCUGCAGUACAUACCAUCUACAAGAUGAACUACAGUCACUCACCAUCCACCUUCAACAGAACAUUACAAGUCUAUGACAGUUACCAUCUAAAAGAAUAAGGAUAGCUGAUGCACAGGAACACCAUUAUCUGCAAGUUCCCUCUGCGCUGGAGCAUUGUCCUGGCUUGGAAUGGUAUCACUGUCCCUUCACUGUCACUGGGUCAAAGUGUUAGAACUGCCUUCCUAACAGCACUGUGGGAAUCUGUGCACCUGAAGGAUUGCAUUGGCUCAAGAAUUCAGUUCACCACCAUCUUCUCCAGGGCAAAUACAGCUGAAUAAUAUAAGCAUUACCAUUGAUACCCACAUCCCGUGAACA